UAGAUACUCCCUCCGUCUCAAAAUUCUUGUUUUAGAUUCGUCUAGAGACGGAUGUAUCUAAUACUAAAACGUGACUUGAUACAUCCGUAUUUAGACAAAUGUAAGACAAGAAUUUUGGGACGGAGGGAGUACUAU
Molecule: non-coding RNA, 135 nt
Organism: Triticum aestivum (bread wheat)
Lineage: Eukaryota; Viridiplantae; Streptophyta; Magnoliopsida; Poales; Poaceae
Source: Rfam